This 380-nucleotide ribosomal RNA is filed under the name uncultured eukaryote. RNAcentral's name for it is "partial 18S ribosomal RNA". It matches the Rfam family "Eukaryotic small subunit ribosomal RNA", at positions 592 to 976 of the family's 1831-position model. The record is from RNAcentral.
CAAUAGCGUAUAUUAAAGUUGUUGCGGUUAAAAAGCUCGUAGUUGGAUUUCUGCCGAGGACGACCGGUCCGCCCUCUGGGUGUGUAUCUGGUUUGGCCUGGGCAUCUUCUUGGAGAACGUAGCUGCACUUGACUGUGUGGUGCGGUGUCCAGGACUUUUACUUUGAGGAAAUGAGAGUGUUCCAAGCAGGCAAUCGCCGUGAAUAUGAUAGCAUGGAAUAAUAGCACAGGACUCUUGGUUCAAUGCUGUUGGUUGAUUGAACUAGAGUAAUCAUAAUAAGGAUAGUUGGGGGUAUUCGUAUUUAACUGUCAGAGGUGAAAUUCUUGGAUUUUUUAAAGACGAACAAUUGCGAAGGCAUCUACCCAGGAUGUUUUUGUUGA